AGAGGAGUGACAACCAUGUUUAAUGUAGUGUGAACAAACCUUGUCAAUUCAUACUGUGUCUUUCUGUGUAUUUUUCCUUUGCGGUAAGAGAUGGAACAGGAAUGCUUCCGAGCUGAUUUGAGCAGAUGUGUGAACAUGCAGAUGGCCUUCAAAGUUUAACUCCGAGUUUUUGUCAGUAAAGGUCACCACAGGGGCAUCUAAAACCUAGAUUCUAAAACAGGGAGGAACUGAGACUGAGAAGAACUAAAUAUAAAGACUGUAGUUUAGCUUUCAAUUAAUUUUAUUGUAUGAUGCUUUCUUUUUGAGAUGUAAUCAAAUUAGACACAGAGCAUAUGGGUCAUAGUCUAAAUAAAACAUGACGAUUUGCCAAAUAUAUAAUCUUUUUUUAGUACUAGAAUAGAUAGUCACUUCUUCAUAACUUGAAUUCAAUGUGUGAAUACCAGAUAUUAUUGGUAGAUAGCUACUAUAUAUUAUAUUAACAUCUCAAUCACUGUGUUUUGCAGAGAUGCGCUUAUCUGGUUGCUAUGGCUCCUUCAUCACCGAUCCUGACUCUUACUGUGUUGCCAUGGCAGCGCUUGAUUGGCGCACAGCUCUGGCAUUUGAGUUCACUCACAACAAGUCUUUGGAUAAAACGAGGGGUGUAGCCUUACAGGAAGUAUUGAUGUGAUGUCGGUGAAUGUAUGGAUUGAUAUAUAAUCAUAAAUUAUCAUAUUAAAUCAUAUAUAACAUUUUGUUUAAUAAAUUACACUUAUCUGAGAGUAAUGGAUAUGAUAAAUAAUUUAAUAUGCUGUUUAUUUAAUGUAUUUGUUAUUAUUCAUCUGUUUGAUUCCCUUCUCAUUUGCUGGUGUAGUUUGUGCUAUCAUGUAUUUACUCUUCUGGAGAGAACAUGACACGGAUGCACACUGUUAUUCUGUCCACUUCCUGUCAGCUGCUAGACACCUUUAGAAGCAGCCAGGCCGAGACGCUCCUCACAUUCUACUGCAAGAAAAGUAUAAAAACAGUGUUUGUUGUCUGUUGCAUACAGUAAUGUGACCAUACUGCCUACAACAUUCUUAAAACCAAGAUGAAAUCAAAAGUUGAAGGUGAAGUUUCAUGUUAGUCCAUGUUCCAAGGACCAGAUUCCUCGAUCUCAUUGGCUAAAGAGUGUGUCACUCAAGGCUGCAGUGUGCACAUCUUUGUGUUCUCCCAUCAGGAAGUAGGCGGGGCUUUGCCAGGGCACAUCCCCUUUCUCACAGGGGGUGGUGUCAUCUGCUAUAACAGACUACAGCUGGUGUUGCCUCAGUUUCUGAAAGUCCUACCUGUCUACGUUUACAGUUUUCGCAAAAGUGAAGUGCUGCUGCCUGGUCCGCGGAGCUCUGUACAUCAGCAUCUAAGACUGCGUGGCCUCAUUGUCUCCAUGGACACGCUGAGCACUGCUUCCCAGUUCUACCCACUUAUUCUGCCUCUGGUGAGAGACAGACAUCUAGAACAUUCUGUUCAUCCAAAUUAGUCACUGAAAUGAGACAGUUUCCUUGUCUGUAAGAAUUUGUAAUUCUCUGUUGGAUUGUUAUACACAUGGCAGUAUUUAGAGAUGCCACAUUCUUCACUACUCUAGCAAUAAAUGCAUUUACUGUACUCUCUCUAUUUGUAGCAUUUUAUGUUUUACUUAUUAUUUCGAAAGUU
Long non-coding RNA from Carassius auratus (goldfish), 1662 nucleotides. RefSeq lists it as uncharacterized. The record is from RefSeq and is a predicted model, not a curated record. The transcript has 3 exons. NCBI's taxonomy places the organism in Eukaryota, Metazoa, Chordata, Actinopteri, Cypriniformes, Cyprinidae.